RNAcentral lists this ribosomal RNA (241 nucleotides) under uncultured bacterium. RNAcentral's name for it is "partial 16S ribosomal RNA". It matches the Rfam family "Bacterial small subunit ribosomal RNA", at positions 1251 to 1500 of the family's 1533-position model. The record is from RNAcentral.
UACCUGGUGACAGGAUGCGAAUCUCGAAAGCCGGUCUCAGUUCGGAUUGGAGGCUGAAACUCGCCUCCAUGAAGUUGGAUUCGCUAGUAAUCGCGCAUCAGCCAUGGCGCGGUGAAUACGUUCCCGGGCCUUGUACACACCGCCCGUCAAGCCAUGGGAGUUGGGGGUGCCUGAAGUACGUGACCGCAAGGAGCGUCCUAGGGCAAAACCGAUGACUGGGGCUAAGUCGUAACAAGGUAUC